AUGAUGACGAAUGAUGAUGACAUAACAGUAAUUCUAUGAGCCAAGACAACAAAUCAGACAACAAAAAACAUUGAAUUAUUAUUUUGUACUUCCUGCAGAUGAUUCGAUUGCGUCUUCAUUUGAAACGCCAUUGCCUAUCUCUACUGGGGACGGUGACCGAAGAGAGAGAGAAACCAUACCAAUCUGGGCAAAGAAUAUCAACGCGACAUUGGAGGUUCUGCUCCGAAGGCUUGAGACUGUUGAGCAGAAUCAGAGAGAGGCUCUAUUAUUGCUACGGGCAAAUCGACAUGGGGACCCUGGGGAAGCUAGUGUCGAGUUACUGCAGGCGCAAACUCAGGCCGAACUACAGGAACUCGAGGAGCACCUUAAAAAUAGAGAUUUCACAAAAAAAAUGGUAAAUGUACGAAUAAUGGUGAAGUGACUUUAGGCUAUAUUGUACACAUGCCACCAAGUGUGCCACAUGGCCCUGCCAUUGAGCUUUUUUCAUCUUUAGUUCCCUGUUGUUAGCUAAGUAGUUAGAGAUGAGCAGUCCAUCUUCAAAUACCUUAAUUUGGUUCGCCCCCCUCAAAAGAAAACACCACCAACACCACAUGAAAAAUACAAUGCAAAUACUUGCCUUAACCAUGGUUGUUUGAUUUCCUUAGAUUUCCCAUCUGAGCCUAGUUGGGGGGUCCAAUCCUGGGGAGUGUGUGAGGAGGGUGUUGCGCUCUGUGGCCUCAAACUUUGUUUGGAGCAGCUACAGCCUUAGUCGAAAGAAGGGGAAGAUGCCACUGCUUGGCACAGCAGUGGGCAGUACCAUCAAACAGGCGAUCAUGAAAUGGAAGCCGGGGCUGGAAGAGAAGGAGGUGGAGCUUCUGAUGGCAGAGGUCUUGAAACAUGCCCCCUCAGCCCACUCCAAAAGUUUGAAGGGUCGGAUGGAACGGCAGGCGGAAGAACAUCCCCAAAAUUGAAUUCAAAAUUAUUUGAAAUAAAAAUAUAAUAAAUUGAUAUUUGUUAGUGUACUGUCUUGUCUUUUGAAUAGGCUUGGGGUCCACAUUAGCAACAGCCACCAGCCAAAAUGUAGGUAAAAUAUUUAUGUGGCUUGUAGAUUUGACUAGAUUUUGUGGGUUCUAUAAAGGGCAAAUGAGGACUGCACCAUGCAGAUCCGCCCUAACGUCCUUGCAACGUUAUGGCAACCUUUUUGAAGAAGGUUGCAUAAAUGUCGCCAGUAUGUAUUUUGGUUGCCACGACGUCGCCAGGACGUGGCAGUUACGGACGAGCAACGUCGCCAAGAACGUCCUUGCAACGUUAUGGCAACGUUAUGGCAACCUUUUUGAAGAAGGUUGCAUAAAUGUCGCCAGUAUGUAUUUUGGUUGCCACGACGUCGCCAGGACGUGGCAGUUACGGACGAGCAACGUCGCCAAGAUACAUUGCGGCAACGUGAUCGCGUCUUUCACCCGCACGUCGCGGCAACGUUGAAACUUACGUUGCGGCAACCUAUGUUUGGUCAUAAAGUUACGUAACCGCGACGUCGCGGCGACGUAACUGCGUUAGCUGGGUAGGUACUUUGGCAUGACAAACCAGUAUUACCAGUAUUCAUCCCUCAAAUGAACUCUAAUUAGUUAGCCGGACAGCUAGUUAAAUAGCAUCCAGCUGCAGCCCUGGAGCCGGAGCCGGGGCCUGUGGUGGGGAAACGGGACCUGUUGUGUGGGACUGGGAGGUCGUUUUUUCCGGCGGUUUUUGCGUCACAGUCGGCCCCUUGGUUGCCCCAGUCGAGUUUUUCAACAUUCAUUUUUGGUGUUUUAUGCUAAAAAUGGAUAAACUCUUAAUUCCUCGAGCUGCUACACCACGUGCCCCGGCCCGGAUACCUCCGGGUCUACAGCUGGAUGCUACUCCGCUAGUUGGCUGGAUUACAAACGUUACCUAUCAGAACUAUUUCACUGUUUUUUCCAACCAGCGAGGGACAUUCACAUUGUCAUGCAAUGCAUUGUGAAGGAGUUACACAUAAUACAAACUAAAAACGUUUGAAUGUUUAACAGUGUUAAAAGAGUUAUCUCUUUGCGUAUCUCAUUAUGCAGUUUAAAGACUGCGUUGGGUUCUCGGGCGUCCCUGGUACUUCCACUUCCACAUAAACCCUGAAGCCAGAUUGAACUGUACAUGGAGGAGAAAGUGAUUGUUGCAUUUUGCGACUCCCGGAUCUCCUGCGGGGGGACUCCGGUGAGUUCAGCUCCGGGGGCGACGGGAGUCCGCAUACGGCAACAAUCACUUUCUCCUCCAUGUCGCAGUUUCACCUGGACUUCAGGGCGUCAAAUCCAAAGUUCCUUUUCCCCAAUUCCUUCCCAACCAUGGCAGAGAAGCACCACUACGAGUCUUUACUUGUUGUGGAAGUACCAGAGACGUAGGAGUACCCGACCCCGUGAUAUUAUAUAGAUAUCUCCUCCAUGCUGGGUUCAUUCUGGCAUGCAGGGAGUGAAAGAUUUCAACUUGAGUGAAGUGCCGCGUAGUGUACUGCGAGUAGGGGUAUAGAGGAUCUCCACUACUAAACGAAUUUAAAUUAACUUAUGUAUUUAAAUGUUCCUGUAGUUGAAAAUGGCUCCACGCAUCAGUCCCCUUAAAGAUGCCAGGAAUCAUGUGAUUGCAAAGACGGACAAAACUUGCAUGUUGGAUGUGCAGUAGGCUACAUCAAUGCAUUGAAAGGAAAGAUAUUAAAUGUGGGGAUUUCUCAGUUAAUAAUUGCUAUCAUAUACAAUAUUUAUGACAUGCAAUCGGUUAUGUCAAAUCAGCUGCAAUCUAUUGUCAGUUUUUGUGUUAUCAAUCCUUUUUAGACAAUAUUUGCAUUUGUAAAACAUUACGGUUAACUUAUUUUUAAACCAAAAUGGACAUGCAUGCUUUCUUUUUAUGGUGCAAAUGUUUUUUUUACAGGUCGUGGUGUAUUUGCAAAGGGUUCCAUUUCUCAAGGAGAUUUCGUUCUCGAAUACAGGGGAGAAUUCCUGUUGUUGAAGCCCAGAGAAGGAGGCUGAUAUACCACGAAUCAUGUACUGCAUUCAUGUUUAGGUGGAGAGGGAAAACAUGGUGGUAAGUAUUUAUGUUGCGCCUAAACUAUACUCUAUACUCUAUUUUAGGUGAGGCUCUGAUUUUGUGGAAUACAUUGUCUGUUAAAUAUGACUGACAAUGUAUUCCAGAAAGUUAAACUGAUUGAGCCAUGUGAUCCUGCAUUGUAACUAUAACAAUUAUUUUUCCAUGAACUUGUCAUGACAUUUAUGUUCCCCUUUCCUCAUGUUUCAUCUUUUUAGUAUCGAUGCCGCCAGAGAUGACGGUUCACUUGGGCGCCUCGUUAACGACGAACACAGGCGUCCAAACUGUAAAAUGAAAAAUAUUGAUGUCAAUGGAAGCCCACAUCUUUGUUUGUUUGCCCUUAUGGACAUAAAACUAGGAGAAGAAAUUUCAUACGAUUAUGGAGGUGAAGACUGCCCAUGGAGAACAGAAACGACCACAGUUGGACCAAAUGCACUGCUGGUAGAAGAUUUGCAUACUGUUGUCCUGGCAAAUACCGAAGUAGGUGAUGCUACUCAUCCAAACAUCGCUCAACAGAUGACCACAGUUGGAGACGAUGCCCUGCUAGAUGGGGGCUCGAAACCUGUCCUUUCAAAUACCGAAGGGGAUGAUGAUGCUACUCGUCCAAAAAUCACUAAACAGGUACAUUCAUGUUUAUCACUUCAAAUGUAAUUAUAGUCUCUCUGAUAGCCUUGCUUUUUCAGUUUUUGUGUUUUUAAAGCUAGCCAAAAUAGGAAAGGAAGUAUAUUUUGGUUGUGUUCUGGUUUAAAUAAAUACAGCCAAAAAGUUUGAUGUAAUGCAACUAUAAGAUGUAUGGUCGUGGGAUAUUUAAAAUAUAUUUUAACCUUCAGAGGGACUUUCUUUCUAGGUUAAUUAUCACUCUAUUCUGGACACUCACGACGUCCCCACAACACACCUUUUAGUCAGUGUUUGGCUAGAAGCUUUGGGUGAAACGUUGGAGACAACUGGUCCCCACAAGGAACAUUAACAUUGUGUUUGAAAUGUCCCCACAAAGCAUGUUAUUAAAGUGUGAUCUCAGAGAGAGCUGGGCUGGGCAGGAACAGAUAUUUGUGUUUUGAUAUCAAUUAUUGAUAACUGGUAUGAAUGAUAACUUGUAUGAAUUCCACAGAAAAGGUUCUUGAAAGUGAAGACGAAAGCACACAGGGGGCACACUGUUCAUCUACUGUUGAUGGUAUGUAAUGUCAAUUGUAAGUGUCAUUUGGGGACAUAUGGAAUAACUAUUUAGGAAUUUAAAGCUAAAAUUAUGCAAAGAAUCUAACAUAAUCCAUGGCAUACUUCAAUCAAACUUAAGUCCUUAAAAAAACACUUUACUGUAUUGCCUGCUCAGGUAAAGUUGACCUCAAGAGUUGGUUGGCACUUGGUUAUUUCUAACCAUCAACAACUUUAAUGAUUGAAUACACUUGUUUUCACUAAAUACAACAAACAUCCCUGCAAAAAAGGACAUAAAUUGGGUUUUGUCUUCAAGCUAUAGUACAUGUAAAGUAUGUGUCUUACUGGUAAUGUUGAAUUUUGAUUAUUUUCCAUAAAACCAUCAGUAGAAGAGACUCUUCCUCACAUCGAGAGCCCGGAAAUUCCACCAACCAAGAAGCGAAGACAACGGCCGUUGGUUGAAAUGCCGGAAGAAGUCGGCGCUAUGAGGCCUUCCUCCCAAGGUGAACUCUUUACACAUGUCUUUUGUACGUCAGUAAAGAUUGUCUGUUCCUCUUUGGAAAUGGAUUUUAUUCAGUGUACCAAUUUCAAGUUGUAUUAGUUAUAACAGCCCUAUCAGAAUAUACAAAGGUUGGGGGAUGAAUUGUCAUUAGUUUAUUUUCAAUGCAUAUGCCUAUAAUGGGGGGAUUUAUGCAAUAUCUGUUUGGAAAUUGAAAGCUAAGAUGAUGCAUAUUAGCUUUCAAUUGGCUCACGUGGCAUACUUAAUCAACAUGCAUCCUUAAAGAGCCCAUGCCAUUAA
Long non-coding RNA from Gadus chalcogrammus (walleye pollock), 5002 nucleotides. RefSeq lists it as uncharacterized. NCBI's taxonomy places the organism in Eukaryota, Metazoa, Chordata, Actinopteri, Gadiformes, Gadidae. The record is from RefSeq and is a predicted model, not a curated record. The transcript has 7 exons.